This 253-nucleotide ribosomal RNA is filed under the name uncultured Rikenellaceae bacterium. RNAcentral's name for it is "partial 16S ribosomal RNA". It matches the Rfam family "Bacterial small subunit ribosomal RNA", at positions 524 to 776 of the family's 1533-position model. Lineage: Bacteria; Pseudomonadati; Bacteroidota; Bacteroidia; Bacteroidales; Rikenellaceae. The record is from RNAcentral.
UACGGAGGAUCCGAGCGUUAUCCGGAUUUAUUGGGUUUAAAGGGUGCGUAGGCGGAUUGAUAAGUUAGAGGUGAAAUCCCGAGGCUCAACUUCGGAAUUGCCUCUGAUACUGUUCGGCUAGAGAGUAGUUGCGGUAGGCGGAAUGUAUGGUGUAGCGGUGAAAUGCUUAGAGAUCAUACAGAACACCGAUUGCGAAGGCAGCUUACCAAACUAUAUCUGACGUUGAGGCACGAAAGCGUGGGUAUCAAACAGG